CUGGCAGUCAGAGGCGAUGAAGGGCGUGCUAAUCUGCGAUAAGCGCCGGUAAGGUGAUAUGAACCGUUAUAACCGGCGAUACCCGAAUGGGGAAACCCAGUGUGAUUCGUCACACUAUCAUUAACUGAAUCCAUAGGUUAAUGAGGCGAACCGGGGGAACUGAAACAUCUAAGUACCCCGAGGAAAAGAAAUCAACCGAGAUUCCCCCAGUAGCGGCGAGCGAACGGGGAGGAGCCCAGAGCCUGAAUCAGCAUGUGUGUUAGUGGAAGCGUCUGGAAAGGCGCGCGAUACAGGGUGACAGCCCCGUACACAAAAGCGCAUGUGCUGUGAGCUCGAUGAGUAGGGCGGGACACGUGGUAUCCUGUCUGAAUAUGGGGGGACCAUCCUCCAAGGCUAAAUACUCCUGACUGACCGAUAGUGAACCAGUACCGUGAGGGAAAGGCGAAAAGAACCCCGGCGAGGGGAGUGAAAAAGAACCUGAAACCGUGUACGUACAAGCAGUGGGAGCACCCUUUGGGUGUGACUGCGUA
Molecule: ribosomal RNA, 530 nt
Filed under: Salmonella enterica subsp. enterica serovar Enteritidis
Lineage: Bacteria; Pseudomonadati; Pseudomonadota; Gammaproteobacteria; Enterobacterales; Enterobacteriaceae
Description: partial 23S ribosomal RNA
Rfam family: Bacterial large subunit ribosomal RNA
Source: RNAcentral